AUCUGCCCUGAAGAAGAGAAUAAUCCCGGGAAACUGGGGGUAAUGCUCUAUAGUCCGGGAGGACUGGAAUGUUCUCCGGAUGAAAGAUCCGUCGCUUCAGGAUGAGUCUGCGGCCGAUUAGGUAGUUGUUGGGGUAAAAGCCCAACAAGCCUGUAAUCGGUACGGGUUGUGGGAGCAAGAGCCCGGAGAUGGAUUUUUGAGACACGAAUCCAGGCCCUACGGGGCGCAGCAGGCGCGAAAACUUUACAAUGCGGGCAACCGUGAUAAGGAAACCCCGAGUGCCAGCACAGGCUGGCUGUCCACCAGUGUAAACAACUGGUGAAGAAAGGGCCGGGCAAGACCGGUGCCAGCCGCCGCGGUAAUACCGGCGGCUCGAGUGGUGGCCGCUUUUACUGGGCUUAAAGGGUCCGUAGCUGGAUCCAUGGGUCCCUUGAGAAAUCCAUCAGCUUAACUGCUGGGCGUUCAGGGGAAACUGUGGUUCUAGGGACCGGGAGAGGUAAGAGGUACUGCCGGGGUAGGAGUGAAAUCCUGUAAUCCCGGUGGGACGACCUAUAGCGAAGGCAUCUUACCAGAACGGCUCCGACAGUGAGGGACGAAAGCUGGGGGAGCAAACCGGAUUAGAUACCCGGGUAGUCCCAGCUGUAAACGAUGCGCGUUAGGUGUGUCAGUGACCACGUGUCACUGAUGUGCCGAAGGGAAACCGUGAAACGCGCCGCCUGGGAGUACGGUCGCAAGGCUGAAACUUAA
RNAcentral lists this ribosomal RNA (747 nucleotides) under uncultured archaeon. RNAcentral's name for it is "bacterial SSU rRNA". It matches the Rfam family "Archaeal small subunit ribosomal RNA", at positions 107 to 859 of the family's 1478-position model. The record is from RNAcentral.